Acanthosepion pharaonis is the source of this 92-nucleotide non-coding RNA. NCBI's taxonomy places the organism in Eukaryota, Metazoa, Mollusca, Cephalopoda, Sepiida, Sepiidae. The record is from the annotation of a GenBank genome assembly.
GGCCAUAUCACAUUUAAACACCGUUUCUCGUAUGAACACCGCAGUUAAGCAACAUUGAGCCUGGUCAGUACAUAGAUGGGUGACUGCUUGAA